UGAGGAAUAUUGGUCAAUGGGCGAGAGCCUGAACCAGCCAAGUCGCGUGAAGGAUGAAGGUUCUAUGGAUUGUAAACUUCUUUUAUGGGGGAAUAAAGUGCGGGAUGUAUCCUGUUUUGUAUGUACCUCAUGAAUAAGCAUCGGCUAACUCCGUGCCAGCAGCCGCGGUAAUACGGAGGAUGCGAGCGUUAUCCGGAUUUAUUGGGUUUAAAGGGUGCGCAGGCGGCGCGCCAAGUCAGCGGUCAAAGUUCCGGGCUCAACCCGGUGUCGCCGUUGAAACUGGCGUGCUCGAGUGCGUGCGAGGAAGGCGGAAUGCGUUGUGUAGCGGUGAAAUGCAUAGAUAUGACGCAGAACUCCGAUUGCGAAGGCAGCUUUCCAGCGCGCUACUGACGCUGAGGCACGAAAGCGUGGGGAUCGAACAGGAUUAGAUACCCUGGUAGU
Molecule: ribosomal RNA, 441 nt
Filed under: uncultured Parabacteroides sp.
Lineage: Bacteria; Pseudomonadati; Bacteroidota; Bacteroidia; Bacteroidales; Tannerellaceae
Description: bacterial SSU rRNA
Rfam family: Bacterial small subunit ribosomal RNA
Source: RNAcentral